Molecule: ribosomal RNA, 253 nt
Filed under: uncultured bacterium
Lineage: Bacteria
Description: partial 16S ribosomal RNA
Rfam family: Bacterial small subunit ribosomal RNA
Source: RNAcentral
UACGAAGGGUGCAAGCGUUACUCGGAAUUACUGGGCGUAAAGCGUGCGUAGGUGGUUCGUUAAGUCUGUCGUGAAAGCCCCGGGCUCAACCUGGGAAUGGCGAUGGAUACUGGCGGGCUAGAGUGCGGUAGAGGAGAGUGGAAUUCCCGGUGUAGCAGUGAAAUGCGUAGAGAUCGGGAGGAACACCUAUGGCGAAGGCAGCUCGCUGGGACGUUACUGACGCUGAGACGCGAAAGCGUGGGGAGCAAACAGG